CCCUUAGAUGUUCUGGGCCGCACGCGCGCUACACUGAUGCAUUCAACGAGCCUAUCCUUGACCGACAGGUCCGGGUAAUCUUUGAAUCUGCAUCGUGACGGGGAUAGAUUAUUGCAAUUAUUAAUCUUCAACGAGGAAUGCCUAGUAGGCGCAAGUCAUCAGCUUGCGUCGAUUACGUCCCUGCCCUUUGUACACACCGCCCGUCGCUCCUACCGAUUGGGUGUGCUGGUGAAACGUUCGGAUCGGCCGUUUGUCGCGGUUUCCGCGUCAUGUGGCUGAGAAGUUCAUUAAACCCUCCCACCUAGAGGAAGGAGAAGUCGUAACA
Molecule: ribosomal RNA, 325 nt
Filed under: uncultured eukaryote
Lineage: Eukaryota
Description: partial 18S ribosomal RNA
Rfam family: Eukaryotic small subunit ribosomal RNA
Source: RNAcentral